UGGGUAAAAUUUAGUGAAGGAACUUGACAGGUACAAAAUCUUAUGUAAAAAAGUUAUAUCAAUAAUUUU
Molecule: ribosomal RNA, 69 nt
Filed under: Theileria uilenbergi
Lineage: Eukaryota; Apicomplexa; Aconoidasida; Piroplasmida; Theileriidae
Description: large subunit ribosomal RNA
Source: RNAcentral